Molecule: ribosomal RNA, 494 nt
Filed under: uncultured bacterium
Lineage: Bacteria
Description: partial 16S ribosomal RNA
Rfam family: Bacterial small subunit ribosomal RNA
Source: RNAcentral
GACGAACGCUGGCGGCGUGCUUAACACAUGCAAGUCGAACGGAAAGGCCUGCUUUCCCUUGUGGAUUGCGGGUACUCGAGUGGCGAACGGGUGAGUAACACGUGAGUGAUCUGCCCCCAACUUGGGUAUAAGCCUGGGAAACUGGGUCUAAUUCCCGAUAGGACUGCAGGGUGGUGCCUGUGGUGGAAAACGAUUUUCUAGUGGCUGGGGAUGAGCUCGCGGCCUAUCAGCUUGUUGGUGGGGUAAUGGCCUACCAAGGCGGCGACGGGUAGCCGGCCUGGGAGGGUGGACGGCCACAUUGGGACUGAGAUACGGCCCAGACUCCUACGGGAGGCAGCAGUGGGGAAUAUUGCACAAUGGGCGGAAGCCUGAUGCAGCGACGCCGCGUGGGGGAUGACGGCCUUCGGGUUGUAAACUCCUUUCGACCGCGAGGAAGCCACCUGGUUGGAAGGGUGGUGACGGUAGUGGUAGAAGAAGCACCGGCUAACCACGUG